Molecule: transfer RNA, 82 nt
Filed under: Vibrio campbellii
Lineage: Bacteria; Pseudomonadati; Pseudomonadota; Gammaproteobacteria; Vibrionales; Vibrionaceae
Description: tRNA-Cys
Rfam family: tRNA
About the family: Transfer RNA (tRNA) molecules are approximately 80 nucleotides in length.
Source: RNAcentral
GCGUCCUUAGCUCAGCUGGAUAGAGUACCUGCUGGCUGCAAACCAAAGGCGGUCGGAGGUUCGAAUCCUCCAGGACGCGCCA